This 206-nucleotide ribosomal RNA is filed under the name Butis amboinensis. Its description in RNAcentral is "partial 16S ribosomal RNA". Lineage: Eukaryota; Metazoa; Chordata; Actinopteri; Gobiiformes; Eleotridae. The record is from RNAcentral.
UAAUCCCAAAAGCUAGCCCGACCACCCCAAAACAACAAACAACAUUUAUAAACCCAAAAACCCCAAUAAACACAAAUUAAACCAUUUUUCCCCCCAAGUAUGGGAGACAGAAAAGGAAAUAGGCGCUAUAAAAAAGUACCGCAAGGGAAAGCUGAAAGAGAAGUGAAACAACCCAGUUAAGACCAAAAAAGCAGAGAUUUAUCCUC